RNAcentral lists this ribosomal RNA (615 nucleotides) under uncultured bacterium. RNAcentral describes it as "bacterial SSU rRNA". It matches the Rfam family "Bacterial small subunit ribosomal RNA", at positions 11 to 640 of the family's 1533-position model. The record is from RNAcentral.
GUUUGAUCCUGGCUCAGGACGAACGCUGGCGGCGUGCUUAAUACAUGCAAGUCGAACGGAGUUAAGGGUUUCGGCCUCUAACUUAGUGGCGAACGGGUGAGUAACGCGUGAAUAACCUGACUCAAAGAGGGGGAUAACAACGGGAAACUGUUGCUAAUACCGCAUGAGACCACAACACCGCAUGAUGAAGGGGUCAAAGAUUUAUCGCUUUGAGAGGGGUUCGCGUCCCAUUAGGUAGUUGGAGGGGUAACGGCCCACCAAGCCAACGAUGGGUAGCCGAGCUGAGAGGCUGAUCGGCCACACUGGAACUGAGACACGGUCCAGACUCCUACGGGAGGCAGCAGUAGGGAAUAUUGGGCAAUGGGCGCAAGCCUGACCCAGCAACGCCGCGUGAGGGAAGAAGGUUUUCGGAUUGUAAACCUCUGUCCUAUGUGACGAAGGAAGUGACGGUAGCAUAGGAGGAAGCCCCGGCUAACUACGUGCCAGCAGCCGCGGUAAUACGUAGGGGGCGAGCGUUGUCCGGAAUUACUGGGCGUAAAGGGUGCGUAGGCGGUUUGGUAAGUUGGAUGUGAAAUACCCGGGCUUAACUUGGGGGCCGCAUCCAAUACUGUCGGA